Molecule: ribosomal RNA, 2494 nt
Filed under: Capsicum annuum
Lineage: Eukaryota; Viridiplantae; Streptophyta; Magnoliopsida; Solanales; Solanaceae
Description: bacterial LSU rRNA
Rfam family: Eukaryotic large subunit ribosomal RNA
Source: RNAcentral
AUGCAUUGUUCUCUUCUAAAUCUCCAAGAAACUUAUUAAGCUUUAAAGAUACUCGCAGAAAUGGAUAUCAUGUUGAGACAAUAAAUGAAAUGAAUGCCGAAUAUCUUGCAUUACCAAGAAUGUCUCAGAUUAAAAAUAAAUGUUGGAGAAAUUUCCAGUUUUGUCUUCCGGCUUUUACUCUGCCAAAAUUAGUACAAUUGAAGCACACUCUAUCAUAAACCAGAAGUUUACUGAUAUAAAUACAUUUGUGCUCUGGCAUGAUCGAAUAGGCCAUCCUGGAUCAAUAACGAUGAGACGAAUCAUUGAAAAUUCAAAAGGGCAUCCGUUAAAGAACUUGAAGAUUCUUACACCGGAUGAAUUUUCAUGUGCUGCUUGUUAUCAAGGUAAAUUGAUAACUAGGAUAUCACCACUGAAAGUUAGCGUCGAAUCCCCUCAAUUUCUAGAACAUACACAUGGGGAUAUAUGUGAACCUAUUCACCCACUGAUGACAGUGUCGCAGUAGUAAUUCAACCUAGUACGAGAGAAACUGUUGAUUCACACAAUUGGUAAUCGCGCUUGGUUGAAAAGCCAGUGGUGCGAAACUACCUAUGCUGGAUUAUGACUGAACGCGUCUAAGUCAAAAUUCGGGCUAGAAGCGAUGCAUGUGCCAGCCGUCCGCUUGCCGACCCACAGUAGGGGCCACGACCCCCAAGGACAUGUCUCUUUGGCUAAGCCAUCGCGGCGGAAGGGUCGUGGUGGCCGCCUUGAAGUACAAUUUCCACCGAGUGGUGGGUAGAAUCCUUUGCAGACGAAUUAAAUACGGGACGUGGCGGUCGACGGCAAUGUUAGAAAGUCCGUAGACGUCGACGGGAGCCUCGGAAAGAGUUAUCUUUUCUGUUUAACAGUGUGCCCACCCUGGAAUUGGAUCAACCGGAGGUAGGGUCCAGCGGCUGGAAGAGCACAGCACGUCGCGUGGUGUUCGGUGCGCUCCAGGAGGCCCUUGGAAAUCCGGAGGACCAAAUGUCGUCCACUCCCGGUUGUACUCAUAACCACAUCAGGUCUCCAAGGUGAACAGGCUCUGGUCGAUGGAACAAUGUAGACAAAGAAAGUCGACAAAAUAGAUCCGUAACUUUGGGAAAAGGAUUGGCUCUGAGGGCUGAGCACGGGGAUCCCAGUCCCGAGCCCGUCGGUUGUCGGUGGACUGCUCGAGCUGCUCCUGCGGCGAAGCGGGUUGCCGCGUGCUGGCCGACGGAAGGACUAGGAAAGGUUCCUUCUGGGGCCUUCCCCGCGCAUAGAACAACCAACUCAGAGCUUGUACAGACAAGGGGAAUCCGACUGUUUAAAUAAAACAAAGCAUUGCGAUGUCCCAACUGAUGUUUACGCAAUGUGAUUUCUGCCUAGUGCUCUGAAUGUCAAAGUGAAGAAAUUCAACCAAGCGUGGGUAAACGGCAGGAGUAACUAUGACUUUCUUAAUGUAGCCAAAUGCCUCAUCAUCUAAUUAGUGACGCUCAUGAAUGGAUUAACGAGAUUCCCACUGUCCCUAUCUAUUAUCCAGCGAAACCACAGCCAAGGGAACGGGCUUGGCAGAAUAGUGGUGAAAGAAAAACCUGUUGAGCUAGACUCUAGUCCGACUUUGUGAAAUAACUUGAGAGGUGUAGUAUAAGUGGGAGCUAAAAGGCGAAUGUGAAAUACCACUACUUUUAACAUUAUUUUACUUAUUCCGUGAAUUGGAAGUGGGGCACUGCCCCUAUUUUUGGACCUAAGGCUCGCUCUGCGGGCCGAUCCAAGAGGAAGACAUUGUCAAGUGGGGAGUUUCGCUGGGGAGGCACAUUUGUUAAAAGAUAACGCAGGUGUCCUAAGAUGAGCUCAACGAGAACAGAAAUCUUGUGUGGUACAGAAGGGUAAAAGCUCGUUUGAUUCUAAUUUUCAGUACGAAUAUGAACCGUGAAAGCGUGGCCUAACGAUCCUUUAGACCUUCAAAAUUCAAAGCUAGAGGCGUCAGAAAAGUUACCACAGGGAUAACUGGGUUGUGGCAGCCAAACAUUAUUAGCGACGUUGCUUUUUGAUCCUUCGAUGUCGGCUCUUCCAAUCAUUAUGAAGCAGAUUUCACCAAGUAUUGGAUUGUUCACCCACCAAUAUGGAACGUGAGCUGGGUUUAGACCGUCGUGAGAAAGGUUAGUUUUACCCUACUGAUGACAGUGUCGCAGUAGUUAUUUAACCUAGUACGAGAGAAAUCGUUGAUUCACACUAUUGGUCAUCGUUCUUGGUUGAAACGAUAGUGGCGCAAAGCUACCGUGUGCAGAAUUAUGACUGAAUGCCUCUAAGUCAGAAUCCUUGGCUAGAAGCGACGCAUGCGGCCGCCUUCCGCUUGCCGACCCGCAGUAGGGGCCUCGGCCCCCAAGGGCACAUGUCGUAGGCUAAUGCACUUCAGCGGAAGGGUCGCGGUGGCCGCCUUGAAGUAUAAUUUCCAUCGAGNNNNNNNNNNNNNNNNNNNNNNNNNNNNNNNNNNNNNNNN